CGGCGGCGACGGAGCUCUGCGGCAUCCGGCUCUCCGUCCUCUGGAAGCUCCUCGGUGCCCACUGACUCAGGAGCUGGAGAUAGAGAGAGCCACAUGGUAGCUCGCGAGCCGCAGUUUGCCAAGCCCUGCACUAGACCUCUGAACUGCGGUUUGCCUGUCUGUAACGUGACACAAUUAACUGUUCCUUUAUAACUGUUGCUUUGCUGAUGAGAAGAGAUGCAGGUCAAGUGCUCAGCACGGCCUGGCAUACAAUAAAGCACUCUUCAAUGUGA
Hipposideros armiger (great roundleaf bat) is the source of this 272-nucleotide long non-coding RNA. RefSeq lists it as uncharacterized. The transcript is spliced from 2 exons. Lineage: Eukaryota; Metazoa; Chordata; Mammalia; Chiroptera; Hipposideridae. The record is from RefSeq and is a predicted model, not a curated record.